RNAcentral lists this ribosomal RNA (356 nucleotides) under Arxiozyma pintolopesii. RNAcentral's name for it is "Kazachstania pintolopesii partial small subunit ribosomal RNA". It matches the Rfam family "Bacterial small subunit ribosomal RNA", at positions 504 to 907 of the family's 1533-position model. The record is from RNAcentral. Lineage: Eukaryota; Fungi; Ascomycota; Saccharomycetes; Saccharomycetales; Saccharomycetaceae.
UGUGCCAGCAGUUGCGGUUAUACAAUGAAGGCUAACGUUAAUCAUAAUGGUUUAAAGGAUUUGUAGAAUGAAUAUUUAAAUAAAUAUUUAGAGUUAAUUAAAAUAUAAUUAAAGAAUUAUAAUAGUAAGGAUGAAAUAAUAAUAAUAAUUAUAAGACUGGUAAUAAUGAAAAUAUUAAUUAAUAAUUAACUGACAUUGAGAAAUGAAAACUAAAGUAGCAAAACAGAUUCGAUACCUGUGUAGUUUUAGUUGUAAACGAUGAAUACAUAUUUUAUAUAUAAUUUUUAUAUAUAAAAUAAAAUGAAAAUUAAAGUAUUCCACCUGAAGAGUAUAUUAAUAAUAAUGAAACUCAANAC